This 760-nucleotide ribosomal RNA is filed under the name [Bisifusarium] allantoides. Its description in RNAcentral is "Fusarium sp. OS-2020a partial large subunit ribosomal RNA". It matches the Rfam family "Eukaryotic large subunit ribosomal RNA", at positions 115 to 905 of the family's 3401-position model. The record is from RNAcentral. Lineage: Eukaryota; Fungi; Ascomycota; Sordariomycetes; Hypocreales; Nectriaceae.
UUGAAAUCUGGCUCUCGGGCCCGAGUUGUAAUUUGUAGAGGAUGCUUUUGGUGAGGUGCCUUCCGAGUUCCCUGGAACGGGACGCCAUAGAGGGUGAGAGCCCCGUCUGGUUGGACACCGAGCCUCUGUAAAGCUCCUUCGACGAGUCGAGUAGUUUGGGAAUGCUGCUCUAAAUGGGAGGUAUAUGUCUUCUAAAGCUAAAUAUUGGCCAGAGACCGAUAGCGCACAAGUAGAGUGAUCGAAAGAUGAAAAGCACUUUGAAAAGAGAGUUAAAAAGCACGUGAAAUUGUUGAAAGGGAAGCGCUUGUGACCAGACUUGGGCUUGGUUGAUCAUCCGGCGUUCUCGCCGGUGCACUCUUCCAGUUCAGGCCAGCAUCAGUUUGCUUCGGGGGAUAAAAGUUUCGGGAAUGUGGCUCCUCCGGGAGUGUUAUAGCCCGUUACAUAAUACCCUGGGGCAGACUGAGGUUCGCGCAUUUAUGCAAGGAUGCUGGCGUAAUGGUCAUCAGCGACCCGUCUUGAAACACGGACCAAGGAGUCGUCUUCGUAUGCGAGUGUUCGGGUGUCAAACCCCUACGCGUAAUGAAAGUGAACGCAGGUGAGAGCUUCGGCGCAUCAUCGACCGAUCCUGAUGUUCUCGGAUGGAUUUGAGUAAGAGCAUACGGGGCCGGACCCGAAAGAAGGUGAACUAUGCCUGUAUAGGGUGAAGCCAGAGGAAACUCUGGUGGAGGCUCGCAGCGGUUCUGACGUGCAAAUCGAUCGU